This 22-nucleotide unclassified non-coding RNA is filed under the name Mus musculus (house mouse). RNAcentral describes it as "oocyte_clustered_small_RNA5680". The record is from RNAcentral. Lineage: Eukaryota; Metazoa; Chordata; Mammalia; Rodentia; Muridae.
CCAUCUGCUGGGCGACUCUGGG